CAGUAGCCGCGGUAAAACGAAGGGUGCAAGCGUUACUCGGAAUUACUGGGCGUAAAGCGUGCGUAGGUGGUGGUUUAAGUCCGUUGUGAAAGCCCUGGGCUCAACCUGGGAAUUGCAGUGGAUACUGGGUCACUAGAGUGUGGUAGAGGAUAGUGGAAUUUCCGGUGUAGCAGUGAAAUGCGUAGAGAUCGGAAGGAACAUCUGUGGCGAAGGCGACUAUCUGGGCCAACACUGACACUGAGGCACGAAAGCGUGGGGAGCAAACAGGAUUAGAUACCCCCGUAGUCCAUGUCUCUUAUAC
This 301-nucleotide ribosomal RNA is filed under the name uncultured bacterium. RNAcentral's name for it is "partial 16S ribosomal RNA". It matches the Rfam family "Bacterial small subunit ribosomal RNA", at positions 509 to 807 of the family's 1533-position model. The record is from RNAcentral.